This 1624-nucleotide ribosomal RNA is filed under the name Escherichia coli. RNAcentral describes it as "partial 23S ribosomal RNA". It matches the Rfam family "Bacterial large subunit ribosomal RNA", at positions 1191 to 2798 of the family's 2925-position model. The record is from RNAcentral. Lineage: Bacteria; Pseudomonadati; Pseudomonadota; Gammaproteobacteria; Enterobacterales; Enterobacteriaceae.
GCACCGAAGCUGCGGCAGCGACGCUUAUGCGUUGUUGGGUAGGGGAGCGUUCUGUAAGCCUGUGAAGGUGUGCUGUGAGGCAUGCUGGAGGUAUCAGAAGUGCGAAUGCUGACAUAAGUAACGAUAAAGCGGGUGAAAAGCCCGCUCGCCGGAAGACCAAGGGUUCCUGUCCAACGUUAAUCGGGGCAGGGUGAGUCGACCCCUAAGGCGAGGCCGAAAGGCGUAGUCGAUGGGAAACAGGUUAAUAUUCCUGUACUUGGUGUUACUGCGAAGGGGGGACGGAGAAGGCUAUGUUGGCCGGGCGACGGUUGUCCCGGUUUAAGCGUGUAGGCUGGUUUUCCAGGCAAAUCCGGAAAAUCAAGGCUGAGGCGUGAUGACGAGGCACUACGGUGCUGAAGCAACAAAUGCCCUGCUUCCAGGAAAAGCCUCUAAGCAUCAGGUAACAUCAAAUCGUACCCCAAACCGACACAGGUGGUCAGGUAGAGAAUACCAAGGCGCUUGAGAGAACUCGGGUGAAGGAACUAGGCAAAAUGGUGCCGUAACUUCGGGAGAAGGCACGCUGAUAUGUAGGUGAAGUCCCUCGCGGAUGGAGCUGAAAUCAGUCGAAGAUACCAGCUGGCUGCAACUGUUUAUUAAAAACACAGCACUGUGCAAACACGAAAGUGGACGUAUACGGUGUGACGCCUGCCCGGUGCCGGAAGGUUAAUUGAUGGGGUCAGCGCAAGCGAAGCUCUUGAUCGAAGCCCCGGUAAACGGCGGCCGUAACUAUAACGGUCCUAAGGUAGCGAAAUUCCUUGUCGGGUAAGUUCCGACCUGCACGAAUGGCGUAAUGAUGGCCAGGCUGUCUCCACCCGAGACUCAGUGAAAUUGAACUCGCUGUGAAGAUGCAGUGUACCCGCGGCAAGACGGAAAGACCCCGUGAACCUUUACUAUAGCUUGACACUGAACAUUGAGCCUUGAUGUGUAGGAUAGGUGGGAGGCUUAGAAGUGUGGACGCCAGUCUGCAUGGAGCCGACCUUGAAAUACCACCCUUUAAUGUUUGAUGUUCUAACGUUGACCCGUAAUCCGGGUUGCGGACAGUGUCUGGUGGGUAGUUUGACUGGGGCGGUCUCCUCCUAAAGAGUAACGGAGGAGCACGAAGGUUGGCUAAUCCUGGUCGGACAUCAGGAGGUUAGUGCAAUGGCAUAAGCCAGCUUGACUGCGAGCGUGACGGCGCGAGCAGGUGCGAAAGCAGGUCAUAGUGAUCCGGUGGUUCUGAAUGGAAGGGCCAUCGCUCAACGGAUAAAAGGUACUCCGGGGAUAACAGGCUGAUACCGCCCAAGAGUUCAUAUCGACGGCGGUGUUUGGCACCUCGAUGUCGGCUCAUCACAUCCUGGGGCUGAAGUAGGUCCCAAGGGUAUGGCUGUUCGCCAUUUAAAGUGGUACGCGAGCUGGGUUUAGAACGUCGUGAGACAGUUCGGUCCCUAUCUGCCGUGGGCGCUGGAGAACUGAGGGGGGCUGCUCCUAGUACGAGAGGACCGGAGUGGACGCAUCACUGGUGUUCGGGUUGUCAUGCCAAUGGCACUGCCCGGUAGCUAAAUGCGGAAGAGAUAAGUGCUGAAAGCAUCUAAGCACGAAACUUGCC